Molecule: ribosomal RNA, 315 nt
Filed under: Triticum aestivum (bread wheat)
Lineage: Eukaryota; Viridiplantae; Streptophyta; Magnoliopsida; Poales; Poaceae
Description: partial small subunit ribosomal RNA
Source: RNAcentral
GGGCGAUGGAUUCCACGAGCGGGAGGACAUGUUAAGAUAAAUGUGGACACGGGUGUUUCAUUUGAUCACAAUGUGGGCACUGUUGCUGCCAUAUGUCGUGAUCGAGAUGGCUCCUACUUGGGUUCUUCUUUAUUGGUCAUCCAGGGUCUGGUAGAUCCCUCCACAUUGGAGCCCCUUGCUUGCAGGUAAGCGCUCUCAUUUGCACAAGACCUAGGAAUGCAACAUAUUCACGUAGCUUCGGACUACAAACAGGUCGUCAAUCACAUUCACCAAGACAUUGGAGGAAAUUAUGGCGGCAUUAUCAAAGAGAUUUAG